RNAcentral lists this ribosomal RNA (372 nucleotides) under uncultured bacterium. RNAcentral describes it as "bacterial SSU rRNA". It matches the Rfam family "Bacterial small subunit ribosomal RNA", at positions 521 to 895 of the family's 1533-position model. The record is from RNAcentral.
UAAUACGGAGGGUGCAAGCGUUGUCCGGAUUUAUUGGGUUUAAAGGGUGCGUAGGCGGCCCGGUAAGUCAGUGGUGAAAGCCUCCAGCUCAACUGGAGAACUGCCAUUGAUACUGCCGGGCUUGAGUACAGACGAGGUUGGCGGAAUUGAUUGUGUAGCGGUGAAAUGCAUAGAUACAAUCAAGAACUCCGAUUGCGUAGGCAGCUAACUAGGCUGUAACUGACGCUGAGGCACGAAAGCGUGGGGAGCGAACAGGAUUAGAUACCCUGGUAGUCCACGCCGUAAACGAUGAUUACUCGAUGUUGGCGAUAAACUGUCAGCGUCUUAGCGAAAGCGUUAAGUAAUCCACCUGGGGAGUACGCCCGCAAGGGU